This is a long non-coding RNA of Neogale vison (American mink), 949 nucleotides long. RefSeq lists it as uncharacterized. The transcript has 3 exons. Lineage: Eukaryota; Metazoa; Chordata; Mammalia; Carnivora; Mustelidae. The record is from RefSeq and is a predicted model, not a curated record.
CCAGCACCCAGCUCACAAAGACCUCUUCCGUGACCUUCCAUCCAGCUGGGCUGGCCUACGCACAGGGGAAAAAAAAGCUCUAGACAGAGUACCAAGGCGAGGCCCUCCAGCGUGCUGGUCCUGCUCUGCCCUGGGAGGUGCUCCGGAACAGUCAGCACAGGAGACUUGCCACAGAGGCAAAAAUCCAAAUUUCCCCAGUCUCUGAACAAAACUUCUCUCCGCAGUUCCUGCAGUUCUUCCCAUUACAUUCGGUUUCUCAAGCAACUCUUGAGCCACUUCCCAAAAGAAACGCAAGGAUACACCAACUUCACUGGAAGACAAAUCCUCAUAUCCAGCUCCCCGGAGACCACCACCAGAACAUCAGCCCACCCAGCCAGGAGUCCCUGCCGCACUUCCCAAGGGCACAUCUCCCACCAUCACAAAUGAGAAAAACUGAAGCAGGUCCCAGUGUUUCUGCGAAUGUUGCCACCAAACUCCACCAGAGCAGAGAAUUUUCAACCAUGAUUAACAACAACCCAGUAGGUUACUGAGUGUCAGAAUGAGGACCUAGAGUCCAUCAGGUGGCGUCACCACACUACUCAUCUCAAAAUGCAACUGUUAGGAAACACCAGGCUCCUAUCCAGCAGCCACCCACUUAGUCCUCCCAAAGGAAGCUCGUGAAGUCAUGAGGGCGUGAGGUACGUGGUUUCGUAAUCCAUGAACAUUGACCCAGUCCUGGACGAACAAGCCGACACCCAAGCCUGAAUACUUCUGCUCUUUCUUUUAGUAGGGAGGGACUUGGUGACAUAGCAGGGAACUUGGAGGACCCAUGGCCGUCCCAAGAACACAGCUCCCGGCAUAGGGUCUCUGGGUCACGUCAGAAGUACAGAGUGCUGCUUGGCCCAGCAACGCAGCAGAAGGGCCCCAAAGAGAUAGGACCAGAGUCAGAAGGAAGGUAAAAAGUUUCAAG